GACGGAGGGUGCAAACGUUGUUCGGAAUCACUGGGCAUAAAGCGCACGUAGGCGGCGCACUAAGUCAGGUGUGAAAGCCCCCGGCUUAACCGGGGAACGGCGCCUGAUACUGGUGUGCUCGAGGACGGUUGGGGUGAGUGGAACUCCUGGUGGAGCGGUGAAAUGCGUAGAUAUCAGGAGGAACACCGGUGGCGAAAGCGGCUCACUGGACCGUUUCUGACGCUGAUGUGCGAAAGCUAGGGUAGCGAACGGG
RNAcentral lists this ribosomal RNA (253 nucleotides) under uncultured bacterium. RNAcentral's name for it is "partial 16S ribosomal RNA". It matches the Rfam family "Bacterial small subunit ribosomal RNA", at positions 524 to 776 of the family's 1533-position model. The record is from RNAcentral.